GAAAUAUAAAUAUUGGCAUAGUUGUGUAGAAUACUAUGCAAUGUUAUUUAAAAUAUGCAUAAAUAAAACGGAAAUAUUUGUGAAAUAUAUUCUUUGUUUCAUUUCUGAAUAACGCCCUUCCGCGUAUAUAAGUUUGAAAUUUGGGAGCUCCAGUUAACAUUCUAGUUGUACAUUUCUAAGAAGCAACAAAGAAAACAAAGCCACAAUGAAAUUGUCCUGCACCUUACUAUUCGCUUUGAUUGUGAUCUUUGCUGUCAUCGGUGGACAAGUUUCUGCUGCUCCUCAACCUAGGGGUUUAAAGAAAUUCUUGAAGAAAACCUUUGGCAAGAUUAAGGAAGUUGCAGCUCCAAUUGCUGGCCAAGCAGCUGGUGACGCAGUGACUGGUCUAAUUGCUGGUUAAAUAAAUACUUUUGAAAAACAAAUAAAAUAUUGGUUUGGGAUAUCUGACUGAA
Molecule: long non-coding RNA, 452 nt
Organism: Musca domestica (house fly)
Lineage: Eukaryota; Metazoa; Arthropoda; Insecta; Diptera; Muscidae
Exons: 3
Source: RefSeq, a predicted model, not a curated record